This 754-nucleotide long non-coding RNA is filed under the name Olea europaea subsp. europaea. Lineage: Eukaryota; Viridiplantae; Streptophyta; Magnoliopsida; Lamiales; Oleaceae. The record is from RNAcentral.
AUUACUCGACUUGAAGGCAACACUGAGUUGCUUAAUGCCUGGAUCCGCAACAACAACAUCGUCAUCUCUUUGAUUCUUAAUUCCGUAACAAAGGAAAUUUCAGCUAGCAUCAUCUAUUAGGAAUCUGCUCAUGAGAUUUGGAGAGAUCUCAAGGAGAGAUUUUAGCAGAGGAAUGGUCCUCGAAUCUUCCAAUUAAGGCGUGAAUUGAUGAAUUUGACACAAGGACAAUCAUCCGUUAGUGCUUAUUUUACCAAAUUGAAAUCAAUUUGGGAAGAAUUAAGCAAUUACAAGCCGUCAUGUACCUGUGGAAAAUGCGAAUGUUGUGGCAACAAAAGGUUGGUAGAUCAUUAUCACAUGGAGUAUGUCAUGUCAUUCCUAAUGGGAUUGAAAGACUCUUAUGCACAGGUCAGGGGGCAGUUGCUGCUCAUGGAUCCAAUUCCAUCGAUAAAUAGGGUGUUUUCACUCAUUUCACAGGAAGAACAUCAGAGAGCUAUUAACCUGAAUGUUGGAUCUGCUGGUUCCUUAGCCUUUUAUGCUAGAAAUGAAGUGAAGAGGACAGGUAUGGGGCAGCCAUCUCAUGGCAGGAAUCAAAAGGAGAGACCAACUUGUACAUAUUGUGGAUAUGAAGGAAAUGUGAUUGAUAGAUGUUAUAAACUCCAUGGAUAUCCACCUGGAUACAAGCCAAAGCAGAAACCUGGUUCACACAAUUACACAGGUUUUAAUCCCCACUCAAAUAAUAAUGUUGUCAAUCAAA